ACUUGGACAUUUUCGUGUAUUAAGGUAUUGUGUUCACUCGAACAACAGUUUAAAGCAAAUUAAGCACAACCAAGGCCUGCUGGAAAUGCUAAAAUAAUUGACCAUUGUAAAAGCAAAAGGCUAGUGGUGUAUAUAAAUAAAUCCUAGCACUAUAGAAUAUUACAAAGGAUGAAACCUGGGUUUGGCAAUUUCACCCAAUUAGAACCGACGACAAAUUCAACCAACUUUUUUCCAUGCAAUUAUUUAGCCAGACCAGAUCAAGCAAAUCAAUAAGAUUAGCACAGUAAGAUAAAGAAAGUCACAACUACAACAUUUCCGACUGGUCUCUGAAGUUCAUCAUAGAGUAUUCAACUUUUUUCUUGAUCAUCAUCUCAACCAAUGAGUCAUAAUUUGCCACCACUCAACCUUCUGAACGACGUUAUGAAUUACAUUCAUGCGUUCUGUUUUUCUAGCUUCAUAAGUUGCAUGAAUUCCCCAAAUACUGCCCAUAGAACAAUUUUAUUAGCAAUAGACUCAAAAAAUUUGCUUAGAAA
Molecule: long non-coding RNA, 533 nt
Filed under: Olea europaea subsp. europaea
Lineage: Eukaryota; Viridiplantae; Streptophyta; Magnoliopsida; Lamiales; Oleaceae
Source: RNAcentral